GCUGUGGCUGUCUUUAGGGCGGCGCAGCCCCGUCGGAGCUUGUGAGAGGAUCAGCCUGGGCGCUGCUGUUGCGGCCGUGAGGUGACUAGAGGGCCGGGCCAGGUGGGUAACCUGUCUUUCAGAUGGCAGAUAACAGUAAAGCAGAAGAUGUUGCCUCAGAUUCUGUGGAAACUGCUAAAAGUACAGGAGACAAAAAAGAAAAGCUAGCAGACCAGGUGAUGCAGAAUCCUCAAGUCCUGGCAGCUUUGCAGGAACGACUUGAUAAUGCACCUCACACUCCUUCCAGUUACAUUGAAACCUUACCAAAAGCAGUAAAACGAAGAAUUGAUGCCUUGAAACAGCUACAGGUGAAAUGUGCCCACAUAGAAGCUAAGUUUUAUGAAGAAGUUCAUGAUUUAGAGAGAAAAUACGCUGCCCUUUACCAGCCUCUCUUUGAUAAGAGAAGGGAUUUCAUCAUUGGUGCUGCUGAACCAACAGAUGCUGAGGCAGAAUGGCACAGUGAAAAUGAAGAAGAAGAGAAACUAGCUGGAGACCUGAAAAAUAAAGUAGUAAUAGAAGAAAAAGAAGCAGGUGCAGCAGAAGAGACAAAUCCCAGAGGAAUCCCAGAUUUUUGGUUCACAAUAUUUAGAAAUGUAGAUAUGCUGAGUGAAUUAGUACAGGAAUAUGAUGAACCAAUUUUGAAGCAUCUGCAGGAUAUCAAAGUGAAAUUUUCUGAGCCAGGGCAACCAAUGUCUUUCACAUUAGAGUUCUACUUUGAGUCCAAUGACUACUUUACUAAUUCUCUUCUGACAAAAACCUACAAGAUGAAAUCAGAACCAGACAAGACAGAUCCUUUUUCAUUUGAAGGCCCUGAAAUUAUUGACUGUGAAGGAUGUACUAUUGACUGGAAAAAAGGAAAAAAUGUUACUGUUAAAACAAUAAAGAAGAAACAGAAACAUAAGGGGCGAGGAACUGUUAGAACGAUUACUAAACAAGUACCAAAUGAUUCAUUCUUUAACUUCUUCAGUCCAAUAAAAGGCACAAAUAAAGAUGAUAAGUCCACUUCCCAAGCCAUUGUUAGAUGAGUAGUUCAAGCUAUUAAGUUGUAUUCUCAACAAACUGACUUACCUUGUCCACUGGGAGUUCAUGCCCAUUCCACCAGGUCACAGGUGUCUUCAGCAGCCCUGCUCAAAGGUGUGUCUCUACAAGACAUCUGUAGAGCUGCAACAUGGACUUCAGCUGAUACAUUCAUCAGGCACUACAUCCUAGAUGUGCAUAACAAGAGAGAAGCAGCCGUGGGUUGCGCUUACCUGUAACUCUUGUUCAUUGAAGUGUUCUAUGCAGGUGCACAUACUAUUCCUCCUUUCCCCACCGUAUGCUCUUCACUACUUACCUGGAGAGUCUGGUGGCUAAGGAGGAACUCAGGGUUGGGGCCGUUGCUCCUCUCAGAAAGCAGUAUGUUUUGGCAGGAAACAAGUUGUACAUGCGCUUUGGGAAGGGGCAGAUGCCCCAUAGAGGAAUUUUAACUGUAGAACCUACCAAUUGGCAGGCAUGCACAGCACAUGUACAGUCCCAUGUGCGCCUGCACAGAAGACCUCAGUGGAGAACUGUUACAGAUAAGUGCAACCCUAUUUUUUCAGUCAGUGUUAACAACAGCAACCAAACAAAACUGAAAAAAUGUGAUGCAUGUAACUAGAAUUUUUGCUCUGUAAAUUAAAACUUCCAAAUCUUCUGUAGCAAACCUUGUUCUAUGCACUACUGGAAAGAAACACCUUACCAUGUUUUCCAUAAAUCGUAUUCAGGUAAAUAGUAAAGAAUAUGUUAUGCCUUUGGAGUUCCAGAGGUGUCAGUUUUGUGAAAGGGUAUAGUGAAAGGGGCAGUUUGUGAACCCGUGAUGAUGGAGCUGAGUAAACUGUUCAACUAAGACUGAUCUUUUUAGGCAUGAUCCAGUCUGGAACAUUUUAACGUGGCAGCAAAUGAUGGCUAGACUCCACUGGUUACUGGCUUUUUCAGCUCAAAAGCAGUUUGGUGAUUUAAAAGCUUUUUAAACAGUUCAGGUGAAGGGAUUAGUUCUCUCAUCUGGUAUCUUAUCUCUUGAGAAGGGGAAAAACUUGCAGUUUCACUGAAGUAACCUACAAAUUAAUGUGUCCAAGCUAAUUCCAGGAAGCUAAUCACACAAGCUUGGGAUUUAAAAAAAAAUAAUGCUGAAAUUAUUCUCUGUCAGGAAUCAGUGUUGGCAUGUUCAUUCAUACUAAAAUCCACAGUUCUGUAGCUAGAGCCAAGUUGUAUGGACCUUUCUGUGGUUUAAUCUUGUAGGUCAACGCCACUGUAUAGUUACAUUUGUAUUUAUUUAGAACAUUUACGUACCACUUUCCCCAUCUAUAUACAUUAAAAGCAUCUCACAGUAAACAUUUACCACAAUACUUAAAAUACCAAUAAAAUCCAAUUUGAUUGAAAAAAAUAAUCUGGAACAUGUCUCUUUAGUGUUUUGGGGCCUGUAAUUAUGGGCCCACAGAUUUUUCCAAUGGUAGUUCAUAGUUCAAGGAAGGCAAACAAGGAACCUGCUGCAAGUCCCCACUAAUCAAACCUCAGAAAAAGCAUCACUCCCUGGACAAUUUUGGAAAGCCGUCUGUUCAUCUGAUAGAGGUGAUGUUUCAGGUAUUUUGGACCUGAUCUGUUGAGGACUUUAAUGGUCACAUCAGAAUGAUAGUUAGCACAUUUUAAUUUUAAUACACCUUUGAGCAAAUAAAUGAAAGUAGAUUAUUUGAAAAUGGAGAUACUGUAGCUCUCCCAAAGCAUCAAUACUCACAUACGGCUAACACUGGGCUCAGACUAGAGUAACUCUUCUUAGAAUUGCAUUGUAAAAAUGUUCCAGGUGUUAGACUAUUCACAUGGUUUUCACACUAGAACUUGCUGGUGAAUUGGGACUGGCUGUUUAAUCUCUCUCUCUCUCUUUUAGUUUCAGGUGAUGGAGAAACACUGGAUGAAGAUUCAGAGUGUACUUUAGCUAUAGACUUUGAAGUUGGGCACUUCUUCCGUGAAAGAAUAGUGCCUCGUG
This is an RNA transcript of Eublepharis macularius, 3037 nucleotides long. It is a transcript of the gene named nucleosome assembly protein 1 like 4, with no coding region annotated. The transcript has 12 exons. Lineage: Eukaryota; Metazoa; Chordata; Lepidosauria; Squamata; Eublepharidae. The record is from RefSeq and is a predicted model, not a curated record.